This 652-nucleotide ribosomal RNA is filed under the name uncultured bacterium. RNAcentral describes it as "bacterial SSU rRNA". It matches the Rfam family "Bacterial small subunit ribosomal RNA", at positions 71 to 717 of the family's 1533-position model. The record is from RNAcentral.
GGGCUUAGCUUGCUAAGCCCGAUGGCGACCUGCGCACGGGUGAGUAACACGUAUCCAACCUUCCGGUAACUCCGGUAUAGCCUUUCGAAAGAAAGAUUAAUCCCGGAUAGUAUGGUGAUUCCGCAUGGUUUUUCCAUUAAAGGAUUCCGGUUACCGAUGGGGAUGCGUUCCAUUAGGCAGUUGGCGGGGUAACGGCCCACCAAACCUACGAUGGAUAGGGGUUCUGAGAGGAAGGUCCCCCACAUUGGAACUGAGACACGGUCCAAACUCCUACGGGAGGCAGCAGUGAGGAAUAUUGGUCAAUGGGCGGAAGCCUGAACCAGCCAAGUAGCGUGAAGGAUGACUGCCCUAUGGGUUGUAAACUUCUUUUAUAAGGGAAUAAUUGCGGGUACGCGUACCCGUUUGCAUGUACCUUAUGAAUAAGGAUCGGCUAACUCCGUGCCAGCAGCCGCGGUAAUACGGAGGAUCCGAGCGUUAUCCGGAUUUAUUGGGUUUAAAGGGAGCGUAGGCGGGCGCUUAAGUCAGCUGUGAAAGUUUGGGGCUCAACCUUAAAAAUUGCAGUUGAUACUGGGUGCCUUGAGUGCAGUAUAGGCAGGCGGAAUUCGUGGUGUAGCGGUGAAAUGCUUAGAUACCACAAAGAACUCCUAUUGCG